UUAUUGGGAUCCCAAUGUACAAAUUGUUGCAUUUUUUUCGCUUAAAUGUGUUGCUUUUACAUUGAAUUAUUUGUGGAAAAUAUUUAGUGUAAUGUUAGGGUUAUCUGUACGCAUACGGCGACUAUACAGUAAGAGCGAUGAAUUCAGUCGCCAUGCGCAAGAAUAUCUCUCUCACUUCGCUCUUUCUAUGUCAUCGAUUACGUCAGUGCGUGCCGCACGCUGUGAAACCUUUCAGCAUUACCGUUCUACAUAUAUGUCGGGUCGCAACACGUUUUCGCAAGUCAUCGCCGCGUCCUUUGUGGACGUGGCGGUUGUAGUAAGAACACGCAGCUCUGAAGUGAAAGAAGUAUCACCGCACUAUUUUAUGAAUUUAAGUCAACUCAUACAAAUAUGCGUGUAGUACAUCUGAUUUUCUCAAAAUAAUUGUUGCAGUGAUUUAAAAAAACGCUUUGAAGUAAAUUAACAGGAAAUUCCUUCCCCACCGGUAAACAUACUUGAACGUGGUUCUACUUUCAGAACAACAUAGACAUAGGUGAUUGUUUCUCGAACGAAAUUCUGCUGAUUAUCGACUGCACCGCUGCAAACACCUGGGUGGAGAUAGACGCUGUGAGGCUGAAAGGCUACCAGAAGCCGUGGAGUCGUCUUGCAAAACGUGAGCAUGUGAAUGAAGUGCUAGAAGAUGAGGAGGACAAGGCCGUUACAGCCGUUGAGUCCGCAGCAGCAAAGAUGAGCAUCAAGCAGCUACUCGCGCACGUUAGGAAAUAGACUGGAAAUCCGACUACGCUACCCCUACGACGACAACGCCAACUUGAAAAGUGAAGUUAUGAAAAAGAACAUGCUUAUGCUAUAAUCCAUCUUCAACAAACAUCUUGUACACAAGCUUUGUGUCUGGUGUUGUGUUAAUGCCCCCGGUAGGAUGGCAUUAAGCAGUUGAACUGUCCGUCAGUUCGUCUAUCAGUCUGUCAGUCUGUUCGUCCGUCCGAAAACUUUAACAUUGGCUAUAACUUUUGCAAUAAUGAAGAUAGCAACUUGGUAUUUGGCAUGCAUGUGUAUUUCAUGAAACUGCACAUUGUGAGUGGUGAAAGGUUAAGGUAAAGAUCAACCUUCGAGGUCAAAAGUAAAAAAAUACAAUGCAAGGGAAGUAAUAAAAUUUAAAAUAUUUCAGUAAACAAUAAAUAGCUAGAAAUUGCAGUUUUCAUUCAAAAUUCGUCCCAACUUUCGUGAGUCUAACAUCUGAUUAGGAAGGAGUGCUGGGACACACUCCGGGUCCUCACCUAAUGCAGCCUCUGGCGCGGAGGGACCUCAUAAACAUUGUAAUACACACACAGGGGCAUUGGUUUCUGACGAACACAUCUCUUGUUUAUAAAUAAAAUUGCAUUUGUAUACCUGUUUGUGUUCUAUUAUUUACCUUUUACAUGUUUGAGAUAUAUUGGCGAACGUUUGAGAAAGUUCAUAGUGUUUUGAUUCACAGUCUUUCAAACAACCUGGCAUGGCCGUUAAAAAUUAGUAUUAAAUUGUUCAACGAACAAGA
Molecule: long non-coding RNA, 1531 nt
Organism: Dreissena polymorpha
Lineage: Eukaryota; Metazoa; Mollusca; Bivalvia; Myida; Dreissenidae
Exons: 3
Source: RefSeq, a predicted model, not a curated record